GUGACUUUACCGAAAGAGCUAAGAAUAUCUUUCCAAUGGUUGUUCUUCCUGUUCAUCCACCAGUGGAUAGACCAAAGCACCCUGCGAGAGCUUACGCGUUGCCAUUUCACCUUCAAUAUAACCGCCGCUGAAGAUUUGGUUCCGGAUUCAAUUGACGCCGAGACGAAUUGGUUCCGCGGGUGUUUCCGCCCGGACGGCUGUCAAUCAAAGCGCCCGGAGCAGGUCGACGUCACGGCCGGUUAGAAUUUCUUAGUCCGCUUAAGCGCCGGCGUUGCCCCCGCGGCCCCCUCAUUGGCUGUCCGCGCCGAGUGACGUCACCAACCCGGAUGAGGCGCCGCGCAUCCGCGGUGGGGAUUCUAAUAGCGGUGAGAAGCCGCCAGUCAGCAUCCACGUUGAGAGUCUCCGGUUCCGGCUCGGUGGGUGAGAGAGACCCACGAAGCGGACGCCGAGCGGGGCGGAGAGAGAGAGGGAGAGAGAGACGCUGCGUGGGGUCACGGA
Molecule: non-coding RNA, 498 nt
Organism: Petromyzon marinus (sea lamprey)
Lineage: Eukaryota; Metazoa; Chordata; Hyperoartia; Petromyzontiformes; Petromyzontidae
Source: RefSeq, a predicted model, not a curated record